UACGGGGGGGGCAAGCGUUGUUCGGAAUUACUGGGCGUAAAGCGCGUGUAGGCGGCUCGGCAAGUCGGGUGUGAAAGCCCUGGGCUUAACCUAGGAAGUGCACUCGAAACUGCCAAGCUUGAGUUCUGGAGAGGAAGGCGGAAUUCUCGGUGUAGAGGUGAAAUUCGUAGAUAUCGAGAGGAACACCGGUGGCGAAGGCGGCCUUCUGGACAGCAACUGACGCUGAGACGCGAAAGCGUGGGGAGCAAACAGG
Molecule: ribosomal RNA, 253 nt
Filed under: uncultured bacterium
Lineage: Bacteria
Description: partial 16S ribosomal RNA
Rfam family: Bacterial small subunit ribosomal RNA
Source: RNAcentral